AAUCACGAGAUCCGGUGCUAAGCCCUGGCUGGCCGGACGGCAACCCUCUCACCGUAGUGGGGUGCUCCAGGUGAUGAUUCGGCCUCCGGGGACCACCGCGGGGCAAGUACGGCAC
This 115-nucleotide non-coding RNA is filed under the name Citricoccus sp. K5. RNAcentral's name for it is "SAM-IV". It matches the Rfam family "SAM (S-adenosyl methionine) riboswitch aptamer". Rfam says of the family: SAM-IV is a mRNA element that regulates gene expression via direct sensing of S-adenosylmethionine (SAM or AdoMet). The record is from RNAcentral. Lineage: Bacteria; Bacillati; Actinomycetota; Actinomycetes; Micrococcales; Micrococcaceae.